Molecule: ribosomal RNA, 212 nt
Filed under: uncultured fungus
Lineage: Eukaryota; Fungi
Description: partial small subunit ribosomal RNA
Rfam family: Eukaryotic small subunit ribosomal RNA
Source: RNAcentral
UAUUUUGUUGGUUUCUAGGAUCACCGUAAUGAUUAAUAGGGAUAGUUGGGGGCAUUAGUAUUCAAUUGUCAGAGGUGAAAUUCUUGGAUUUAUUGAAGACUAACUACUGCGAAAGCAUUUGCCAAGGACGUUUUCAUUAAUCAAGAACGAAAGUUAGGGGAUCGAAGACGAUCAGAUACCGUCGUAGUCUUAACCAUAAACUAUGCCGACUA